Molecule: ribosomal RNA, 211 nt
Filed under: uncultured bacterium
Lineage: Bacteria
Description: partial 16S ribosomal RNA
Rfam family: Bacterial small subunit ribosomal RNA
Source: RNAcentral
CGUGUAGGCGGUUUGGCAAGUCGAGUGUGAAAUCCCACGGCUCAACCGUGGAACUGCGCUCGAAACCCCCUGCCUUACUUGAGUGCGGGAGAGGUGUGCGGAAUUCCUGGUGUAGCGGUGGAAUGCGUAGAUAUCAGGAAGAACACCGGUGGCGAAGGCGGCACACUGGCCCAGCACUGACGCUGAGGCGCGAAAGCGUGGGGAGCGAACG